GCCCGGUUAGCUCAAUCGGUAGAGCGUGAGACUCUUAUACCAGCGCGGUUUACUCGCCAUCUCAAGGUUGCGGGUUCGACCCCCGCAUCGGGCU
Hypoxylon sp. FL1284 is the source of this 94-nucleotide non-coding RNA. Lineage: Eukaryota; Fungi; Ascomycota; Sordariomycetes; Xylariales; Hypoxylaceae. The record is from the annotation of a GenBank genome assembly.